UCACCAAUCCUUCAGAAGUGCACCGGCGACGUCCUUGUAACUGACCUUUUUCUUCUUUGGAGCACCAGCAGUUGGAUCUGGGGCUGGAACCCCGGUACUCUGCCUGUGGCACUGGAGCCACGUAACUGGAUGUGGAGCUUCCUACCCAAGAUAACGCCUCUCGGCAGGAGGGAGGCUGCAUAAACCAGUAUUUUCAUAAGUUUUCAAAUUUCCAGCUGUCAGUGUUUGAAGAAAGAAAUUCUUCUAUCAUAGAACAGACCAAAAAAAAAUUAAUAAAUAACCUCUUGUACAGCAUGUCAAAAUUGUAGGCUUGUAGAACUGAAACUAUAAUCAAAUGAGUAGCGGGAGCAAGAAUGCUGCACACUUGACCACCAUGCAUGGUAAGGUCCUGCUUCACUCUCUUGAGUGCAAGAUCAGAUAUUACAUUGUAGUCCGCAUUCCUCCAGAAAAGAAGAGCAUCAAUGAAUAAAGAAUCACAUUACAUGAAAGAUGAUAUUGACCGCAAAUAAAACUUACACCAAGGGUGCAUGAUAGAAGUAGACACAGCAACCCUGGAAGAAGCAGAAUCUCUCAUCUGCGCAAUACUUCUUUUUGUA
RNAcentral lists this small RNA (596 nucleotides) under Oryza sativa Japonica Group (Japanese rice). Its description in RNAcentral is "sRNA Os04g0606425". The record is from RNAcentral. Lineage: Eukaryota; Viridiplantae; Streptophyta; Magnoliopsida; Poales; Poaceae.